UUUGAGGCUGCUUACGAUAAACGGGCAUCAAAAAUUUGUCAUCCGCUUUGUUCGUAAUAUAGCAAUGGUAUUCGAACAAGUCCUUUGGGCCUGUGGUGUUAUUUUGCAAACGGAUUUAAAACAUCUUCUAUAGCUGCUGCGUGACAGCAACAGUCUAUUAGGUUCAUAAAGUGGUGUUGUAUCGAGUCAAAAACAGUUUUAUCGUAGCCUUGCAUCGCUUAUUGCACAUGCAAAAAUAUACACCCACACAAGGCAUGAAAUACAGCCGGAGAGCAUUUGAGGUUAUGAAUACCCGACAUCGAUCUGACGCAGGCUGUAAUUUUAAAGGAACGUUAUGGCUUGGAAUUGUCAACUCAAAUACCAGGGUUCAAACACAAAAAUGAGCGUCUUCCGAGUUAAAAUAGGGUCAUCAGCAGUUUUAUGAUGUUUUGCUAAAAAAUUCCUGGUUCGCAAUCAACACUUGAUUGAAAUGAUUCAUUGCGGUCGAGUAUAGAGGUUAACUGUACUAAACCAGACCCGAGCAUGACGUCGGUGGAUGCAUUCUAUACGUAUUUGAAAUGCUAUAGUAAACGCUUGUGUUAAAAAUAUGCCAAACUGCAUCAAUGAGUUGGCCAAAAUGAGUAUCUCGUGCGCUCAACAAAAAGCUGCUCGCGUUCGGGAUGCUGAAAAAAACUUCUCUGCGAUUCAUGCAUAUGACGAAUUGACUGAAAUAACAGCAACGUAGAGUUAAAGAAUAUAUUACAAGACAUGUAAUUACCGUCAAAAAUGGUCACAUAGACGGAUUGUGUAUGCUUGUUUCCUCUGGUUUUUUCUAUAGCAAAAAAAAACAAGGUUACCCAGUAGAAGAAAAUGAGGCCAGUAUUUGAGAGGAAUAAACACGAGAUUUUCCCAAACAGCCAUGCGUUCAGCUUACAGCAUUGCGUUUUAGAUGGAUGCUUGGUCUUUAACUUUUUCUGCUAACAACAAAUAGGCCCGAAUGAGGUUUGACAAGUAGGUAAUCAUUAGCGAAUCUUGAAUCGAAUUGGCAAAUAUUGUAUCGAAAGACUGGCUUCGAGUUGGGAUCAGAGAAAGUGUGUAUUGUAAAAAGCGUGCCAAUUCGGAAUCAAAUGGGAUCUUUCCAUUGAUCAUGAGGUCGAUGUGAUCGAUGAUGCGCUGCAUUAUGCUGUAAACUCUAUCUAAGGUGAUUUCUAUAUUCGCCAGAUCGGAAAGAGUGUUUGGUUUUUUACUUCUGCUUUGCUGCAUAAAAGUGUUGAUCGCCACCAGGUCGAUUUUAGAAACAAGAUAGUUGUUCUGAAUAGGCAUAUAUUGCUUCUGUACCGGCUCCCUAUUACCGAAUUCAAUAGACAUGCAAUAGUAUGUAUUAACACUUAGGUGUCCUGAAAGCAGAUCAGUUUCAACGACAAGAUGAACUGGUGGCAAGGUCAUCUCUCUAGAUAUGAGUUCGUCGAUCGAAAUAUUCGAAGGACGUAUAGGGGACGUAGAGUAGUAUCCGACAACUUUAGAAUCCGGGUUUGUUCUCUUGCUUAGACUCACCAUGUUUUUGUGAAAUUCAUGGUUCAUGAGCAACUGUUCGAGUCACCAUUCAAAAAAAAUUAUCCAUUAGUCAUAUAGAAACAUUGCUUAGGUCUGAA
Long non-coding RNA from Schistocerca gregaria, 1631 nucleotides. RefSeq lists it as uncharacterized. The transcript is spliced from 2 exons. The record is from RefSeq and is a predicted model, not a curated record. Lineage: Eukaryota; Metazoa; Arthropoda; Insecta; Orthoptera; Acrididae.